UGGCUCAGCAGAAGGGGACUCAGUUGAUGGUCCCUCGGAUUCAGGUUUCCUAGACUCAUGUUCCUCAGACUCAGGUUGAUCUAAAUCAUGCUCUUCAGAUACAACAUUUUCAGAAUCUUGUUGCUCAAAGGCCGAUUGUUCAGAAGUUGUAUGCUUGAAUGUUGUUGGCUCCGUGUCACUUUCUUCACUCUCCUCCACCUCAACUGGUAGGGGUGGUGGAGUAUUUUUAGAGCUUUGCUUCUUCUUUUGCUUCCUGAGCAGAGGCUCUUCCUCUUCAUAAUCAGACUCUUCAUUGAAGAGUCUCCGAGAUGCACUUCCCUUGGUCACUUUCUUUGUGGAUUAUGAGUUAUUUCCUUUUGGUGCCAUUUCAAAACCUGUAGCAAGAGAAAAACCAUUAUUUAACCCUCGAGAGUACAAACACAAACACAUCGAUCAUUUUAAUUCCAAACC
RNAcentral lists this long non-coding RNA (450 nucleotides) under Capsicum annuum. Its description in RNAcentral is "long non-coding RNA (CANN_LNC004900)". Lineage: Eukaryota; Viridiplantae; Streptophyta; Magnoliopsida; Solanales; Solanaceae. The record is from RNAcentral.